Molecule: long non-coding RNA, 5697 nt
Organism: Cavia porcellus (domestic guinea pig)
Lineage: Eukaryota; Metazoa; Chordata; Mammalia; Rodentia; Caviidae
Source: Ensembl
GUUAUUUCAGAAUAUUGGAUUCCAGACCUUGUUUGAAACGUUUGGGCACUGGCAGAGAACAUUCUGCUCCUUCCUGCUCUCCACCUGAUUCAGGAGUUCUACGGGCAGUGCUGGAAGGGUCAUCCUUCAAGGUGUUGUGGAGUUUGCUGGCAGCAGAGCUGGAGUUCACCCAGAUCAUCAUCAUCAUUGUGGUGGUCACUGUGAUGGUCGUGGUCAUCAUUUGCCUGCUGAGCCACUACAAGGUUUCCACACACUCCUUCAUUCAGCAGCCAGGCCCGGGCAGGCGGCAGGGGGAAGCAGUGCUUCUGGAAGGGUACAUGUGGCCUUCAAAUGGUGCUGUGCUACGGCCCCAGGCCUCAGAGGCCACCAUCAUGCCGCGGGACCGCUUUGGCAGCCCCACGCUGGCCCCAGCCCUUUCGUACGCGCGGCCUGAGCUGGACCUGCCGCCCACCAUCUCGCUGGCCGAUGGCGAGGAGCCGCCGCGGUACCUGGGCGCCUGCGCGACCCGAGCAGCAGCGUGAGCCCAGCCGCCAGUCAGUGCACGCGCCACCCAACCGCACGGCGUUUGCGGGCGGCCCUGGGGCCUCGCGCCCGUGCCCGCCCAGCAGCCAUGCGGGCGUCAGUGCUGGCUGCGCCCGGGGCACAGCGGGCCGGCGGGGGGCAAUGUGGGGUCGCGGGCUGGGCCACCGCCGCCCUACAGCGAGCGACGGGGACCCCAGGNNNNNNNNNNNNNNNNNNNNNNNNNNNNNNNNNNNNNNNNNNNNNNNNNNNNNNNNNNNNNNNNNNNNNNNNNNNNNNNNNNNNNNNNNNNNNNNNNNNNNNNNNNNNNNGGGGGCGCCACCUGAUCCGGCCAGUAUCCCUAUUUCCUUCCUGGUCUGACCACACUAAAGCGAGGCGACUCCCGCCUCCCCCUCGGUGUCCUUAAAGACAGCAGCGUAGAGAGACCGUCUCGGGGAAGAGGCCCGAGAGGGUCGGGUGAGCAAUAGCUCAGGCUGUAACAGGUCAGGGAACCGGGAGGCCACAUGGCCACACCUCUCCGUUGGGCACACCCGCUGGUUGGACCCCGGACCCCUGUGCCCAUGCUGUGCGAGGUUGCCCCUCUCUGUGUGAUGCGCAGGUUGGAGCUCAGGCUCUGUGGCUGGCGGGGAGAUUGGUUUCCUGGGUCCCCGGCUAUGGAACCACUCCCCUGAACACAAGUGGUCGCUGUGCAGCACUUCCCUCAAACAGAGCACAUCGCUGGCCAGGCCUUGGGGUGGGAGACAGGACCCCAGCACCCCCAGUUCCAGUGUCACCUUGCUGGUCUCACAUGCAGGUCACUACCACUGUGCCUGGGCUCUCACACUGCUCUCAUCCUCAGGCAGUGUGUUUUCUCGGUUUAACUCCUUUCCCCUGUAGCUUGGAUUUUGUUCAGAUGCGUACCUUUCGUAGUCACUGUUGAGAUGCAAGUGGUUCUAUUGAGCCGGGAGGAAGCCUAUGCCUAGGAUCCCAGCUGCUGGGCAGGCAGGUGGCGCAGUGGUGCUGCAGGCCAAGACGUCUGCCCUGGGGUGAGCGCUGGCGAGGCAUGGGGAUGUGGGUGUGAGUGCCUGGCGCUUCCUAGUGCCUCACACAGCACCACGUGGACAACCUCAUCGUGGACCUGCCCCAGGGUGGGUGCUGGAAGGGGAGGGGACCAGAGGGGGCCAACUGUAGCUGAAUGAGCAACUGGGCCAGAGUGGGUGCAAGUCCGGCCAGAAGCCCAACUUAACUGUGGGGUCCUCGUUUUAGUAUUCCUACUGUUUCAACUGUUCAUCGUUACAUACAAUGAAAAAUAACCUCCUGCAAAUGUGAGCACUGCUUUGAGGAGCAGAGCUUGCACGGGGGUUGUCAGGACCUUUCCAGGCCCACACGGGACAUGGGAACCAGGUUGCUGACUUGGUCAUGCAGUCGAUGUAGCUUCCACCUGGUCAGCAUCUACUGCUGCUUGUUUGUGUGUCUGUGUUUCUGGAGGCGACCCUUGAGGGACUCACCUAGGUCCUAUGUAGCCUCAUCUCUUUCCUGGUGUGUAUCCUGGUAACAGGCCAUAGGAUGGAAUCACUGUGAGAUUCACCUGUGCACACACAGAAGCAUCCACAACCAUAGUAGACUGGUGAGACAAGGAUCAGAGGGGCUAUUGCUAGCUCUGGCUGAGGUACUGCUUAGCAGGGCUCUGGGUGAGGGCCGUGAGGGAAACUGAGGCUCAUUUUGGUACUGCCAGGAGAGCCCUACUCUCAGAGCAGAGAUAAACUUCCCCCAUUCUGGAUCCCCUGGGCCUCCUAGUGGGGAAGUGGCUGGGAGGUGGUCAGUGUCCCUGGCACACAGGUAAGGUCUUCACUCUGAGUCAUGCUUGCAGGUAGGGGAGCAGGGGAGCUGUCCUCAGUGUUCCCAUCAGUGUUCCCUGCAGAGAAUGACACCUGAGACCUAGUGUGCCCUGUGACUCUGCAAUCCACAAACACUUUGUGGAUCCUCAGAGUAUUAAAAAGAAAUCAUUGAAUUCAAGUCCCUUAGAAAAGAAGUUCCUACCCCAUUGCUUCUUAGGUCAUUGGUUGUUUGAAGACACACACAGCAAGUGUGGCCUGGAAAGGUCUCUGAGGCUGGGCCUCUGUAACCAGUAGCUAGACUAGUAGUCUCCUUCCUGUUGGUAGCUUUUCUACCAGGCUGGUGUGGCCCAGCCUAGUGCCUUCUCUUCUAGUGUUACAAAAGUUGUGCUUCUGACCCAGGACUAGUUUAGAGCAGAGGUGUGGGUAGCAUGACAGAUGUGAGUCAAGAUUACUCUACAGAGCAGGCAUGUAAAGGGCUUUGUCGUUGAGAGGGGGGUGGUAGAGAUGCCAUGCCACUUAUGCUUGAUCCAAGUGUGCAGGGCUGUGACCCAGAGGCACACAGAACCCCAUCAGGGGAAAACUUUUCCCAAACAUGAGGCCAUUCAGUGACAAGAUUGUGAGAAUCACAUGCCUAUAAAGUAGAUGUUUUCUGUCCUAUCAAGAUAGAUAAAAUGUACCCCACCCUCCACCUGUGGAUACACCAGCCCACAAGAGCCACUGGGCAGCAGGGGGAUCCAGGAGCAGCGGGGGAAUUAGCGGACUGCUGUGUGGGGCAAGAAGGCCUAGCAAGCCUUCCCCUGAGUUCCAUCUCCCUAGGAAUAAAGUGCUUGACCAGAAACAUUUCCAGGGAUGCACUGAUAGGAAAAAUCAUCACAUUUUGGCCCUCAGUAUUGGCUCCCACCCAGGGGACUGCCUUAGAGUCUGUGUGAAGUGCUUACCAAAGUGUAGACACAUGCUAGGGUGCUUUGAGCAGCAGGAUUGACUUUCUGUACCAUUCCUUGUGCCUAUGUGCAGCUUUGUCCUCUUUUGUAAGGAUAUUUGCAAAUGGAUGCAUAUAAAGUCCAUGUAGUUUAUUUUCCUAUUAAAUGUUGAUAUUGUAAUACAAGAGAAAGAAGUGUGAACAAGCAAGAAAGUUUAUGACCAGCAUCUAUUCUGCAACUGAGAGUGGCUUCUUUGCUAUAAAAACUCACAGCUUUUUGGUGGCCAUUAAAUGGCCCUUACUUUACUCAUUUUAGAAAUACCAAGUUGGACAGUUACAUUUUAGUCAGCAAAAAGGGCUGAGUCCAGCUUUUUUCUUGCUGUGGCAUAGCAAAGGCUCCAGUGAGAGGCCCGAGCUCAUGUUGUUAAAUCAGCAAAGCAAAGAACUCUGCAGUCUGAUGACCGCUCAGCUGUGGAGCCAGAACUGGUCAGGCCAAGGCAGGAUUGUGAUCGUCCCUGUUGACAUCCUGCUGUAUUCUGGCCUGAAAACCUGCCCAGUGCUGCCAAAAGUAAGAGAGCAUGCAGAAUGACCCUCCCCUCCAGCUCAGCUGAGUUUCUGGUUGGGAUCUCUACACUGUUCUGCAGCUAUUCCAGCACUUCUCUUAAGCACAAGACACCCCCACAUCACUAUGUCCCUUCAAACCACUGCUGGUUCCUGGGUGUUGAGCACUGUCCACGAAGGUGGUCAUGGAUUCUGCCAUUUGACUCACACUUCCAGGUUCGUCUGCCACCAUGCACCAUUCUAAUAAAGCCUAUUUUUAUUUUCUGUAUGGUAUGUGUACAUUCUGCCCUUGAGAAUCAAAGUAGCCUUCAGAAAAUGAGGCAUCACAGAUCAUCCUCACCUAGAAAUGCCUACUCCAGCUUUUCCCCUGCUGCUGCUGGGAAGGACAGGGUCCCUGGGGCCCUCAGAAGCUCAUGGGCAUGGGUUGUGUCCUCAGCUUCCAUCAGCAGAGCCCCCGUUUCUGUGCUGGUCCCUUCUGACAUGCCAUCAGCAGAUGGCUUGUUUUCAUCUCUUGACUUUUGAAUCAUGGUUUUCUAAUUGUGUACUUGCCUAGCUUAAAGCUGUUUUAAAAUACAGUACUUUCUACAGUAUUUCAUUCACUUAAUUUUUAUUAUAAAGCAAUCCACUGAAAGUAUGACUGUACUUAAGCUUUUUAGUCUUUGUGAGCUGAGUCAUUAAAGUCCUUUUUAAAAAACAAUGAUUUGUGCUUACUUUUCAGCAUAAUUCUCAACUUCAGCAGUGGUGAUAUGGGUGUUUGGCCUCAGGUCUAUAAUUACAGUGCUUUGCAGAAAUGUGUUGUACCAAGUGCUAUUUGUUGUAAACUUAGGUUUUUCUGCUUGUCCUUAAAACUUUGGUCAAACCAUAGCACACAAAUCAUUAAAAAAAAUCAGUGAUAUAUCUUUGUCCCCUGGAUUUAUUUCUCAACAACAAUACACAUGGAAAAACCAAUGGAUCAAAGGCCUGUCUUGGAGAAAUAGUACUAAGCUACGCUGGCUCACACCAAUCAUUUUACUGGUCCCUCAUCCAUGUCCCACCAGCUCUGAGUCACUCUGACCCCCUAAGGAUCACUGUUUCCUGGUCUGCUGUCAGCAGCUCUGGUCAGAUCAUGGCAUCCUCUUCUGGCUGGGGUUUCAGCACCAUUUCCAGAGGGAGGGCCAAGAAGAAGUCUCAGCCAUGAGGACACUGGUGACAGUAGUGAGGAGAUUUAAGUGUGUAGAUUCUGUGUGGAUGCACCCCCUGGCAGAGCUCUUCAUCCCUUCUUUCCUGGAUGGCCUGUUUGUAUUCCCUGUCCCCUCAGGCAAAGGACCAGCCCAGCUGCUCCCAGACAAUAAACUAUGAGAUCAGGGAGGAAAGAAAGAAGGUGUCAGGCUCGAUCAUGCUCUGCCAACCCAGAGGCCAUGCUCUGUGGCUACUUGUCCUUUAUCUGAACAACAGCUGGCAUAAACUUCUCACUUUGUGGUUGUCUGAGGACUAAGAUGGCACUGAAGACUCAGGAAGAGGCCCUGAAACAGAAAAGCUGAGAACUGAUGUCCAGUGGGACUUAGCCAGGCUGCAAGGUGGGGGCUUCAAUUUGGAGAGUGGAGGGGAGUCCACAGCUUUCCAGACUGGCUGACCUGGUGCCCACCCAUCACCCUCCUUCCUCAGGUUGCUACUGCCUGCUGGAGCCCGCUAGGCUGGUGACAGCCUUUUGAACUGUGUAAUGCCUCCAAGAUGGGUCUUCCUGUUCCGACUCUGUGAUGACGGCCUGCACGUCACAGUUUAUGAGCCUGUUAGGACAGCUUAUACACACUACACACUGUUACAGUGAUCUAUUCUGUUUAAAUGGAUUCAAUUAAAAUACACAUUGUACAACCGCAGCCACUGUUGUGCUUUUAAAUUUAG